This 28-nucleotide small RNA is filed under the name Bombyx mori (domestic silkworm). Its description in RNAcentral is "ovarian small RNA-30422". Lineage: Eukaryota; Metazoa; Arthropoda; Insecta; Lepidoptera; Bombycidae. The record is from RNAcentral.
UGAAACCGGAGAGAUUCCGCGAUCGUGC